CAUGCAAGUCGAGCGCACCCUUCAGGGCGAGCGGCGGACGGGUUAGUAACGCGUGGGAAUGUACCCUUCUCUAUGGAAUAGCCUCGGGAAACUGAGAGUAAUACCAUAUACGCCCUUCGGGGGAAAGAUUUAUCGGAGAAGGAGCAGCCCGCGUAAGAUUAGAUAGUUGGUGGGGUAAUGGCCGACCCCGUCUACCAUCUUUAGCUGGUUUUAGAGGAUGAUCACCAACGCUGGGACUGAUACACGGCCCAAACUCCUACGGGAGGCAGCAGUGGGGAAUCUUAGACCAUGGGCGCAAGCCUGAGCUACCCAUGCCGCGUGUGUGAUGAGGGCCUUAGGGUCAUAGAGCACUUUCGCCAGGGAUGAUAAUGACAGUACCUGGUAAAGAAACCCCGGCUAACUCCGUGCCAGCAGCCGCGGUAAUACCGAGGGGGUUAGCGUUGUUCGGAAUUACUGGGCGUAAAGCGCACGUAGGCGGAUCAGAAAGUUGGGGGUGAAAUCCCGGGGCUCAGCCCUGGAACUGCCUCCGAAAGUCCUGGCCUUGAGUUCGAGAGAGGUGAGUGGAAUUCCGAGUGUCGAGGUGAAAUUCGUAGAUAUUCGGAAGAACACCAGUGGCAAAGGCGGCUCACUGUCUCGAUACUGACGCUGAAGUGCGAAAGGGUGGGGGAGACAACCGGGAUU
This 681-nucleotide ribosomal RNA is filed under the name Pseudosulfitobacter pseudonitzschiae. Its description in RNAcentral is "bacterial SSU rRNA". It matches the Rfam family "Bacterial small subunit ribosomal RNA", at positions 54 to 779 of the family's 1533-position model. The record is from RNAcentral. Lineage: Bacteria; Pseudomonadati; Pseudomonadota; Alphaproteobacteria; Rhodobacterales; Roseobacteraceae.